GAUGAACGCUGGCGGCGUGCCUAAUACAUGCAAGUCGAGCGAACAGACGAGGAGCUUGCUCCUCUGACGUUAGCGGCGGACGGGUGAGUAACACGUGGAUAACCUACCUAUAAGACUGGGAUAACUUCGGGAAACCGGAGCUAAUACCGGAUAACAUGUUGAACCGCAUGGUUCAACAGUGAAAGACGGUCUUGCUGUCACUUAUAGAUGGAUCCGCGCCGCAUUGGCUAGUUGGUAAGGUAACGGCUUACCAAGGCAACGAUGCGUAGCCGACCUGAGAGGGUGAUCGGCCACACUGGAACUGAGACACGGUCCAGACUCCUACGGGAGGCAGCAGUAGGGAAUCUUCCGCAAUGGGCGAAAGCCUGACGGAGCAACGCCGCGUGAGUGAAGAAGGUCUUCGGAUCGUAAAACUCUGUUAUUAGGGAAGAACAAAUGUGUAAGUAACUAUGCACGUCUUGACGGUACCUAAUCAGAAAGCCACGGCUAACUACGUG
Molecule: ribosomal RNA, 497 nt
Filed under: uncultured bacterium
Lineage: Bacteria
Description: partial 16S ribosomal RNA
Rfam family: Bacterial small subunit ribosomal RNA
Source: RNAcentral